Plutella xylostella (diamondback moth) is the source of this 307-nucleotide non-coding RNA. NCBI's taxonomy places the organism in Eukaryota, Metazoa, Arthropoda, Insecta, Lepidoptera, Plutellidae. The record is from RefSeq and is a predicted model, not a curated record.
AGCUCGGCUGCGCGGCGUGGUCAGCAACACGAAGGCAGGGGGUUGCCGAACCAGCACGUAGAGGGCGAGCCGUAGAAGUAGGUAGUUCCGUGCAGUAGGUAAACCGUACCGUGGAGUAGUAGCGUGGACCUUGGAGUAGUAGCGUGGACCUUGGACCCUGGAAAAGAUGGAAAUCCAACGCAUCAGUACACCGUUAUCGUCUAGGUUCCACAUACCGUCAUCAAGACCUACAGCAGAGUACCUAAUCUAGCUUGAUUGAGGCGGCAGUGGAAACCAGAACGGAAUACCUAACAUAAAUUAAAGAUAA